Molecule: ribosomal RNA, 424 nt
Filed under: uncultured bacterium
Lineage: Bacteria
Description: bacterial SSU rRNA
Rfam family: Bacterial small subunit ribosomal RNA
Source: RNAcentral
GAAUUUUGGACAAUGGGGGCAACCCUGAUCCAGCCAUCCCGCGUGUGCGAUGAAGGCCUUCGGGUUGUAAAGCACUUUUGGCAGGGAAGAAACGGCUCUGGCUAAUACCUGGAGCUGCUGACGGUACCUGCAGACUAAGCACCGGCUAACUCCGUGCCAGCAGCCGCGGUAAGACGUAGGGUGCAAGCGGUAAUCGGAAUUACUGGGCGUAAAGCGUGCGCAGGCGGUUGGGCAAGAAGGAUGUGAAAUCCCAGGGCUUAACCGUGGAACUGCAUUCUUAACCGCCAGGCUAGAGUAUGUCAGAGGGGGGUAGAAUUCCACGUGUAGCAGUGAAAUGCGUAGAGAUGUGGAGGAAUACCGAUGGCGAAGGCAGCCCCCUGGGAUAAUACUGACGCUCAUGCACGAAAGCGUGGGGAGCAAACAG